RNAcentral lists this unclassified non-coding RNA (316 nucleotides) under uncultured fungus. RNAcentral describes it as "sequence contains ITS1". Lineage: Eukaryota; Fungi. The record is from RNAcentral.
GAAAGUCCUGGCCUUUGCUGGCCGACCUGAACACUGGAAGCGUUGACCGGGGAUAGCUCCGCAUAUGGACGCGGCUGGACGUGGAAGCGACUACCGGGAGAGCUCCGCACGGGCCCUGGGGAAGUGGAAGCGUCAACCGAAGGUCCGGUACUGGGCGCCCUGGCAGCGCGGACGGUAAACCCCCUGUGAAAACCCCUCGUUGCUUCGGCAGCAUCCUCGGCCCUGCCGGGGCUUCAGCCUGCCGACAGCACCUCAGGAAACCCUUUAUGUGAAAGGAAGCAUUGACAACGUCUGAGAACGGAAGUCGAAUGACAUA